RNAcentral lists this ribosomal RNA (426 nucleotides) under uncultured bacterium. Its description in RNAcentral is "bacterial SSU rRNA". It matches the Rfam family "Bacterial small subunit ribosomal RNA", at positions 28 to 456 of the family's 1533-position model. The record is from RNAcentral.
GACGAGCGCUGGCGGCGUGCUUAACACAUGCAAGUCACGGGGGCCGGUAGCAAUAUCGGCGAACCGGCGAACGGGUGCGUAACACGUGAGCAAUCUGCCGAUCUCUGGGGGAGUAGCCGGCCCAACGGCCGGGUAAUACCGCAUACGCUCAUCGGGGGACGAUCCCCUCGGUGAGGAAACCUCCGGGGGAGAUCGAGGAGCUCGCGACCUAUCAGCUAGUUGGCGAGGUAAUGGCNCACCAAGGCUACGACGGGUAGCUGGUCUGAGAGGAUGGCCAGCCACAUUGGGACUGCGACACGGCCCAGACUCCUACGGGAGGCAGCAGUGGGGAAUAUUGCGCAAUGGACGAAAUCUGACGCAGCGACGCCGCGUGUGGGAUGAAGCUCUUCGGGGUGUAAACCACUGUUGCCAGGGAAGAAACUCCUG